This 91-nucleotide non-coding RNA is filed under the name Mammaliicoccus lentus. RNAcentral's name for it is "TPP riboswitch (THI element)". It matches the Rfam family "TPP riboswitch aptamer (THI element)", at positions 7 to 92 of the family's 105-position model. From Rfam's summary of the family: Vitamin B(1) in its active form thiamin pyrophosphate (TPP) is an essential coenzyme that is synthesised by coupling of pyrimidine and thiazole moieties in bacteria. The previously detected thiamin-regulatory element, thi box was extended, resulting in a new, highly conserved RNA secondary structure, the THI element, which is widely distributed in eubacteria and also occurs in some archaea. The record is from RNAcentral. Lineage: Bacteria; Bacillati; Bacillota; Bacilli; Caryophanales; Staphylococcaceae.
AUGCACUAGGGGCGUUUUAAACUGAGACAGACCUGAAAAAGUCUGAACCCUUUGUACCUGAUCUAGAUUAUACUAGCGUAGGAAAGUGUUC